CCUAGACUGUGGGGACUGAGGCUGAGCCCACAGGUUUUUUUGAGUCUUGCUUUCUCACCUCUCAAAGGAGCGUAAUUAAUUACCUUGAGACUGAAGCUCCGUGGCAGCGUGGUAGCAUCACAAUUGGGCAUGGUAGUACACGUCUGUAACUCUGGAGGCGGGGAAGAGUGGGAAGUUCAAGGUCACCCUCGGUACUCAUCGAAUCGGAAGCUACUAUCUCAACAACACUCAAAGCGGAUAACUGCAAGACAUGGUGGCACAUGCCUCCAAUCCCAGGACAGAUCUCUUUGAGUUUGAGGCCAGCCUGGUCUACAGAGCAAGAUCCAAGGCUAGCCUAGGCUAGGCAUAGUGAGACUCUAUCUUAAAAAAAAAGGGUGGGGGGAGAAUAAUUGUUUCGCUUGCCUCCCUGGAUUCCUAAGGAAACCCUAGAAAGAGAAAGGGGAAGGUAUGGCCCCCAGGCCUCCAUCAGGUAGGGAAGCCUAAGAAAUUCCCUAGACUUGCCCUGCUCUCUGAGUUAAGGGUAGGUUGCACCUCAAUAAUCCUACCAUCUCGUUCUUCCCCAGGGUUUAAUGGGAGCCAAGGGAGAGCCUGGCCCCAUGGGAACCCCUGGAAUCAAGGGCCAGCCUGGGCUCCCAGGGCCCCCUGGCCUGCCGGGCCCUGGUUUUGCUGGACCUCCGGGACCACCUGGACCUGUUGGCCUCCCUGGUGAGAUUGGAACCCCAGGCCCCAAGGUGAGCCCCAGUCACUCUCUAACCCUCUGCCUCUUGCCCUGCAUACCUAAGCUGGCCAUCUGGGUCAGGCUUUCCAGGAGUUUCUGGCCCACCAGGCUUGGGGCAGAACCUCUCCUG
RNAcentral lists this long non-coding RNA (848 nucleotides) under Rattus norvegicus (Norway rat). RNAcentral describes it as "long non-coding RNA NONRATT022590". Lineage: Eukaryota; Metazoa; Chordata; Mammalia; Rodentia; Muridae. The record is from RNAcentral.